RNAcentral lists this ribosomal RNA (468 nucleotides) under uncultured bacterium. RNAcentral's name for it is "partial 16S ribosomal RNA". It matches the Rfam family "Bacterial small subunit ribosomal RNA", at positions 28 to 507 of the family's 1533-position model. The record is from RNAcentral.
GACGAACGCUGGCGGCGUGCUUAACACAUGCAAGUCGAACGGAAAGGCCCUGCUUUUGUGGGGUGCUCGAGUGGCGAACGGGUGAGUAACACGUGAGUAACCUGCCCUUGACUUUGGGAUAACUUCAGGAAACUGGGGCUAAUACCGGAUAGGAGCUCCUGCUGCAUGGUGGGGGUUGGAAAGUUUCGGCGGUUGGGGAUGGACUCGCGGCUUAUCAGCUUGUUGGUGGGGUAGUGGCUUACCAAGGCUUUGACGGGUAGCCGGCCUGAGAGGGUGACCGGCCACAUUGGGACUGAGAGACGGCCCAGACUCCUACGUGAGGCAGCAGUGGGGAAUAUUGCACAAUGGGCGGAAGCCUGAUGCAGCAACGCCGCGUGCGUGAUGACGGCCUUCGGGUUGUAAACCGCUUUCGCCUGUGACGAAGCGUGAGUGACGGUAAUGGGUAAAGAAGCACCGGCUAACUACGUG